This is a long non-coding RNA of Gallus gallus (chicken), 1463 nucleotides long. Lineage: Eukaryota; Metazoa; Chordata; Aves; Galliformes; Phasianidae. The record is from Ensembl.
UCUCUGCGCGCUGUUACCGGGAGAGAAAUAUUUUGUUUUUGUUCCGGAUAUUUUAUUUUACAAGUAUAUAUAAAAGAGGAGCAAGGUGAGAAAACAGAGUAAAAGCAUUUAUGUUUUAUAUUGAAAUACUCCUGAGUCUGAUCUAUUCAGGACUCACUAAAUAAAGGGCAACUUUUUUCCGACAUGUAGGAGUUAUACACAGAAUCAUACAUAUGUAGUAAUCAGUGCAACAGGGUGAGAGGAACCUCAUCCAAUUCAGAAAGAACAUAUGCCAAAUCCUGCAGCUGGGAAGGAAGAACCUCUAAUCAUGAUACAGUCUGGGCGCUGCCUGGCUAGGGUGCAGCUCUACUGACAAGGACCCAGGGAUCUUGGCAGACAGCAAGCUGGGCAGGAGCAGUGUGUCCUGGCAGCAGAUCAGGCCAGAAGUUGCCUGUCCUGUAUGAAUCAUCGCAGAGCCAGCAGACAGAGGGAACAGAUUAUUCAUCUCCCUUUAUUUGGCACUCAUUGCACUACAUCUAUAUACUGUGUUCAGUUGCGAGCUCCAUGGUAAAUGAAGUCCCAGAUCAGCUGCUGCAAGGUCAGUGGAUGCCAACCAAGAUGGCCAGGGGCUCCAGGGCCUUGUGAGGACACGCUGAGGGAACUGGGUUGCUCUGCCUGAAGAAAAGGUGGCUUCAGGGACCUAAACAGCACCUAACAGCAGCAUCCCACCUCCUACAGAGAAGGUCUUCAAGAAGACUGAGACAAACUUUGUGCAAGGUGUCUUACUUUAAAAGCUGUAUUUCUGAGAUUUCAGCUGGGAGGGAAGAAGGAAAAUAAAAGACAUCCUUAGUAGACAAUGCCUGGAAUUUUACACUGUUGAAGGCAUAAUCCAGGACACAUGCACAAAAUAAGAGUAUUCCAUCAGUAGAUCAAUUGUGGUAGCUAGCACGCAUCUCCUCUUCCAUCUAGUAUACGUAUAUUAAAUUUUACUUCCCUGUGAAUCCAAAUGCUUUAUAUUUUUCUUGGUGGUAAAUUACCUGAUGAAUUUUGGGAAGGCUUGGAAAUGACACUAAGAUGUGAAUACCUCAACAAAUGACAGAUAAAUAUAAUACUAGAAUACUUAUUCAGAGGCCUAAUGAUCUUAAAUUCACCUAACAUUGUAACAACUAAACUCAUCACAAUGAUUUGUUUAAUGCAAUUGUCUACAUGAAGAAGUUUUCUACACAACUGAUAUCCAAGGUGUGUCACCAGGAAGCACUAUCUUUAUAAAUGGCUACUGGAAAAAAAAAUGAAAAGCAGGGUUUUGAAUUUAUUGACACUGAAUCUUACCUGCUGAGAACUAAUGAUACUUUCCCAUACAUUGAUCUGAUGCAGAGGCAUAUACAUGUGAGGUGACUUCCUUCUACUUGCACAGCACAAUCACUGCCCACAGAGGAACCUUUCCAAAUGAGAAGCUUUUGAUUAAAAAAAUAAAAAUAAAAAGC